Molecule: long non-coding RNA, 729 nt
Organism: Neogale vison (American mink)
Lineage: Eukaryota; Metazoa; Chordata; Mammalia; Carnivora; Mustelidae
Exons: 2
Source: RefSeq, a predicted model, not a curated record
GGUCACGUGCUGCCGCCGUCUUCGGCUUGCGGACAAAUGCGGGGCGGCUGCAGAGCUGGUCUGGGAGGAGUGUUUUGCGGCUCGCAGAGGCGCGCUUUACUUCCACAUCGGGGAGACCGAAAAGAAGUGCUUUAUUGAGGAGAUUCCGGACGAGACCAUGGUUAUAGGAAACUAGCGGACGCAGCUGUAUGACAAGCAGCGGGAGGAAUACCAGCCGGCCACCCCCGGCCUUGGCAUGUUCGUGGAGGUGAAGGACCCAGAGGACAAGGUGAGCCGGCCCCUGAGCCCCGCCGAGCCCUCCGCUCUGCCUUUCCCCGCCAGACCCGGCAGGUGCUGGUUCUUCCCCCUCCUGCUCGCCGCAGCCGCUCCACUGCCGAGCAUAGCUGGGUGCUGGGGAGAAAAUCCGGAUUUGCGCUCGAGGCCACAGUUGGGCCGCUGCGGGGCUGGCUCGCGGCUCCUCUCAGCUUCUUCCCGACUGCUGCCCGACUCGGCCGAGCCGCUUCCCCGCCCCGAGCCGCCGCGGUUUUCCUGGCCUGUGAGAUGGAAACUCACCUGUCUGGUAGGCGUGGCUGGUGGAUUAAUUGUGGUGCUGGCCGUCAGAGAAUUCCGGUCACUGUGAUGCUGUGACGUCUAGACUUGAGGAUUUCCCAGAACGGGGUGUUUCCCAAAACGAGUGAGCAGCUUUUAAUUUCGACAAGUAAGGAUAUUAAAGCCAAAGAAAAACAAAAA